Molecule: ribosomal RNA, 367 nt
Filed under: uncultured bacterium
Lineage: Bacteria
Description: bacterial SSU rRNA
Rfam family: Bacterial small subunit ribosomal RNA
Source: RNAcentral
GACGAACGCUGGCGGCGUGCUUAACACAUGCAAGUCGAGCGGUAAGGCCCUUUUGGGGGUACACGAGCGGCGAACGGGUGAGUAACACGUGGGUGACCUGCCCUCAGCUCUGGGAUAAGCCUGGGAAACUGGGUCUAAUACUGGAUAUGACCUUUCCUCGCAUGGGGUUGGGUGGAAAGUUUUUCGGCUGGGGAUGGGCCCGCGGCCUAUCAGCUUGUUGGUGGGGUGAUGGCCUACCAAGGCGACGACGGGUAGCCGGCCUGAGAGGCGACCGGCCACACUGGACUGAGACACGGCCCAGACUCCUACGGGAGGCAGCAGUGGGGAAUAUUGCGCAAUGGGCGGAAGCCUGACGCAGCGACGCCGC